CUGCACCUCUGUUCCAGACUGAGCCUUGUGCUAGCUUUUCAUGCAGAGAUAAUAGUUGUGUUUAGCAGUGGCUAGUUUUUGUUUCUGCAUGGACUGUUAAUGGAUAAUGUUCCAGGUUGUGAUUGAGCAAAAGCAGGGGAGGUGAGGGAAGUUGACUGUAUUUUCCUUUCCUUUUCUUUAAGGUGCUGUGAAAGGUCCGAAUGGUGCUGGAAGCAGGUCAUUCACUGUCAGACUCGUCUUGUAUCUGGACUGUGUCUCGCUGGGCAGCAUACUGUGCCAUGUUAGGCAAUCCUGAUAUUAUGCAACAACUCAGAGCACUGCGGAAAAUGGCCAUUUCAUUUGCAUCAAACCUGUGUGGAAAACAGAGGCUGAGAAUGCAAAGAAAAAUACUCUACAUUUUCAUUGAGUGAUAUUAUGUUUUUUUUUUCUUCGUGCAAUUAGGUCUCAUUUAGAGGCAUUAGCUCAUGCAGUGUCAAAUGAUUUGAGAUUAAGUGUUUGUGGAUGUUACCAUUCAUUUGUCUUCUCAUCGUAGCACUCCACAUCAGACGUUGUGCUGAGUCCAUUAAACCCUCCGACAGCAAACAACUGAUCAUCAACUACCUAGAUUUUGAAGAAGGUGCGUGUUCUUACCCUGCCGUGCAGUGAUGUGGCGCUGGCAUCACUCCUCCGUUCGUUCAUAGAUGCGGUCAGUGUCCACUGGUUGGUGUCAGGAUCAUAGCGUUCUGCUGAUUUCAGCCGCCCAUGUCCAUCAAAGCCACCGAUGGCAUAAAUGAAACCAUCCAGAGCAGCAACACUAACAUAGCAUCGCCGUUCAUACAUGGGAGCCACCUACAACAACAUGGUUUUACCGUUUUUUUUUUUUCAUAUAAGUCAGUGCAUAUAUCAAUACACUAUUUCAUUGUUCUCUUUAAUCAGUUGCAAUAAAGUACAAUGAUAUUA
Molecule: long non-coding RNA, 939 nt
Organism: Carassius carassius (crucian carp)
Lineage: Eukaryota; Metazoa; Chordata; Actinopteri; Cypriniformes; Cyprinidae
Exons: 4
Source: RefSeq, a predicted model, not a curated record